AUAUUGCACAAUGGGGGAAACCCUGAUGCAGCGACGCCGCGUGAGCGAAGAAGUAUUUCGGUAUGUAAAGCUCUAUCAGCAGGGAAGAAAAAAAUGACGGUACCUGACUAAGAAGCACCGGUUAAAUACGUGCCAGCAGCCGCGGUAAUACGUAUGGUGCAAGCGUUAUCCGGAUUUACUGGGUGUAAAGGGAGCGCAGGCGGUACGGCAAGUCUGAUGUGAAAGCCCGGGGCUCAACCCCGGUACUGCAUUGGAAACUGUCGGACUAGAGUGUCGGAGGGGUAAGUGGAAUUCCUAGUGUAGCGGUGAAAUGCGUAGAUAUUAGGAGGAACACCAGUGGCGAAGGCGGCUUACUGGACGAUUACUGACGCUGAGGCUCGAAAGCGUGGGGAGCAAACAGG
Molecule: ribosomal RNA, 401 nt
Filed under: uncultured bacterium
Lineage: Bacteria
Description: bacterial SSU rRNA
Rfam family: Bacterial small subunit ribosomal RNA
Source: RNAcentral